RNAcentral lists this long non-coding RNA (571 nucleotides) under Erythranthe guttata (spotted monkey flower). RNAcentral's name for it is "long non-coding RNA (EGUT_LNC001375)". Lineage: Eukaryota; Viridiplantae; Streptophyta; Magnoliopsida; Lamiales; Phrymaceae. The record is from RNAcentral.
GAUUAAAUGAUUAAUUGCUGGUGUAGAUCUGGUAAAACUUUAAUUAAAUUGGUUUCAUUUUCUAUAAUUAUUACUUUAAUUUAUUAUUUUUUGGUUAGAUUUCUUUUAUUUGGAUUUAUAUUUAUAUUUAAUUUUCUCAAUCCUGAUUUUGAAUGGCAAAAUCCUCAACCACACAUAAAAGGAUGGGAUAAGAGAAUAUAUUUUAUUUAUUUAUUUUUAUUUAUUUCCAGAUCUUGAUUUUAUUCACAUGUGACAUAUAAAAUGUGUCAAUUUCUUGGUAAUUUAAAACCCUUUAAUUAAAUUAAUUGAAAUUAUUUAUUAUCAUUAAUUGUGAAUGUAAAUAGUUUAUUGGUGAAUAGUUACUACAUACAAUUAUCAUUUUAAUUUUGUACAGGCUGUAUUCUUAUCUAGAGCAUGAAUAUUGCUGGUUCUUGCAAGCUGUUUAUAUUAUAAUGCUGAUGAGUACAAUAAUAUUAAUAUGUAGUCCAGUGAUUUAUUUAUUUUUCAAUAAUUUCUGGCAAGAGAUGUAUGUUUGUUUGUUGGACCACACAAAUUGCAUUGCCUUAAAAGC